RNAcentral lists this long non-coding RNA (573 nucleotides) under Fukomys damarensis (Damara mole-rat). Its description in RNAcentral is "lncRNA (ENSFDAG00000023435.1)". Lineage: Eukaryota; Metazoa; Chordata; Mammalia; Rodentia; Bathyergidae. The record is from RNAcentral.
GGUAGCUUGUUACAUUGCUGGCCUCACUCAGCCUUCUCCCACUAUUCACAGACUUGUUUAACCCUCUCAUGUAGACUGGAAACUUGGUACAUGACCUGCUGUGGCCAAUGAGCCCGUGAUAAUCGCUACACGACACAGCAGAAAUUGAUGUGCAUUUGCGAGUCAGGGUUUGUCCUCCUGGCACCUGGUGCCCAUGUAUGGAGGAACCCAAGCUAGUCACGUGGACAGAUUGCAUAGAAGAAAACCGAGGUGUCCCAGCAAAGAGCCCAGAUGAUGUCCCGGCAAAUAGCACCAACUUCUGGCAACACGGAGAGAACAUGUUGAAUGAUCUAGCCUCUUUGAAGCUUCCAGAUGACCCGAGCCGUCUUCCACUGUCUGCUUGGCAGAGCUGGAGGAGGGUGUUUUAGUUGCCCAAGAUGACUGCUGAUAAUGAAAAGCCAACAUGUAUGUCUGGAACCACAAGAGAAGACACAAGCAAGAGUUUCCCAAUGCCUCUUUCUAACUCACUACAAAAAGACUAUUUGAGGCCAGAGGGCAAGAACUUUAACAAAAGCACUGAAGAUACACUGGAAC